GCUUCGGUGGCGAAACUGGUAGACGCGCUGGAUUCAAAAUCCAGUUCCUUUUUGGAGUGUGGGUUCGAUUCCCACCCGAAGUA
This 83-nucleotide transfer RNA is filed under the name Fidelibacterota bacterium. Its description in RNAcentral is "tRNA-Leu". It matches the Rfam family "tRNA". Rfam says of the family: Transfer RNA (tRNA) molecules are approximately 80 nucleotides in length. Their secondary structure includes four short double-helical elements and three loops (D, anti-codon, and T loops). Further hydrogen bonds mediate the characteristic L-shaped molecular structure. tRNAs have two regions of fundamental functional importance: the anti-codon, which is responsible for specific mRNA codon recognition, and the 3' end, to which the tRNAs corresponding amino acid is attached (by aminoacyl-tRNA synthetases). tRNAs cope with the degeneracy of the genetic code in two manners: having more than one tRNA (with a specific anti-codon) for a particular amino acid; and 'wobble' base-pairing, i.e. permitting non-standard base-pairing at the 3rd anti-codon position. The record is from RNAcentral. RNAcentral also lists the same sequence under 1 other name. Lineage: Bacteria; Pseudomonadati; Fidelibacterota.